RNAcentral lists this long non-coding RNA (1050 nucleotides) under Sarcophilus harrisii (Tasmanian devil). Its description in RNAcentral is "lncRNA (ENSSHAG00000022857.1)". The record is from RNAcentral. Lineage: Eukaryota; Metazoa; Chordata; Mammalia; Dasyuromorphia; Dasyuridae.
CUACAAACUGUUACCAGGACAUCAAAGUAAAGAGAACACCUAUGGAACAGUAUGAUAAUACAUUCUUAAAAUCUCUCCAGAGAAAGGCUCCAUUCUAAAAACAGCAACUUGGAAUUACAUAGGCUUGGAAGACUAUAAAGUACAAAUCCUUGUCUGCAGAAAAAAUGAAGCUACUAAAGGUAAAGAAAUCAUCAUCAAGAUGCAGCUAGAUGGCAUAAUGGAUAGAGCACCAGCCCUGAAGUCAGGAGGACCUGAAUUGAAAUCUGGUCUCAGACACUUAACACUUCCUAGCUGUGUGACCCGGGCAAGUCACUUAACUCCAAUUGCCUCAGCAAAAAAAGAAAUCAUCAUCAUUUUGAUUCUUCAUCUUGACAAAAUAUUUCAAUAGACCAAGUUGAAAGCUCAGUGGUGAGGACUCUUUCCUGCAAAAUGUCACCAAUGAUGAACUAUUCAACAGCCCUGGAGAUAAUGGGUCACAAAGGCUAGAGAAGAAGGAAUCAAGCAAAGAAUUUCAUCAAGGACAGAAACCCCUAAAAGUGAAUUUACUAUAUAAAGUAAUACCUGAAGAUUGUUGGCAAAUCACAUUCCAGAAAAAAAUGCAUCAAGAUAGAUAAAAGGAUUAAAAAACAUUGACAGUUCACUUGGGACUGUUGCAGAUAUUGUGGGAGGCUGUAUAUCUCUGCUGCCCUAUAAUUAUCACAGGUUAUAGAGGCCAUGAAAGUCUCAUAUCAAUUUUGUCCCAUGAGAAAUGCAGAGGAACAUGUUGGACAACUAUGCUCAUUGCCACCAUUGAUCCUCUGUUAAGAAUGGUUUGACCCCAAUAGGACUACCCAGCAAGUUCUUUGAAAAAAAAAUUGGAAAGCAGCCUGGGAAAGCAGGGCAAAUGUGAAUGGAAGGAUAGAAGAAGAAAUCCCAACAGCUUUCUCCAGUCUUCCAAGUGGGCCUUCACAUAUGGCUUCAUUAUUUCAUUUUAAAAAGCAUUGUGAAUUCACAGCUGCCAGAGAAAUCCCAUAUAGAAAUGGAAUUGUGCUGGAGGCAAAAACAUGGUCC